Long non-coding RNA from Suricata suricatta (meerkat), 1036 nucleotides. RefSeq lists it as uncharacterized. Lineage: Eukaryota; Metazoa; Chordata; Mammalia; Carnivora; Herpestidae. The transcript has 4 exons. The record is from RefSeq and is a predicted model, not a curated record.
UCAGACUACUCCCAGGUCGUCACCAGUCUCUGCUGAGGCCUGCCUGCCUGCCAUCCAUGCCAAGAAACCAGAUAUGUGAGCGACAGUGUCUCAGAUCCCCAGAGCAGCCCCUUGCCAGCUGGGUACCACUGAGUGAUCCCAGUUGUGACCGCACAGGGAACAAGAGAAUCUCCCACUGAGCCCCAUCCGCCCUCCCGACUGACAAGAAGAUGGUCGUGGUUAGUUACACUGCAGUAGACAGCCAGAACACCUCCAGAAGCCCUGACUCUGAGUGCCAUGGUGGCAUUUUGGGUCUUCUGGAAUUAAUGUUGGCUUGGAACUAGCCUCCAAUAAUCCCUAAAAUAUCUCGUAGUUCCUCCUCUCCAGUGCAAACUCUGAUGAAACAACAAAGGUUCAAGGGCAUCUGGCAGGCCCAGAUGUCAUGCUCAGCUUGGCCUGAUUCCAGGGACCAAUAAAUACAAGAAGCCAAUGUGCCUGCAUAAGAAAGGAAGUUAGGGGAAGACUCCUUAACAGACCCCGGCUGCAGAGGCGUGAUCAGUGAAGGAGACGGGACUGUCUUCCCUUAGAUGCUUCUGGGACCUGGGCUGAGGUAGAGUCUGACAUCUUUGGCAGAUUUUGCAGUGUCAGCUCACAAAUCCGUGGGCUAUACUCCCCACCCAUGGUGGGCAAGGCGACUGUCCACCUUGUGACUCCACCCCUUUGGCCAAUGCUGAUUGGACAAGAACGGGCACUGGUACCCAAGCCAGGCCAAUCAGAAUGCCUUCUCCAGGAAUUUGGAAAGGUGACUAAGGAAUCCCAGACUCAGUGGGAAUCUGGAGCUAUCAGGGGUCAACCAGCUGCCCUGGGGGGCUGAGGACCCUGAGUGCCACCACAAGCAGGAAGCCGACACACAGAGAGAGGCAGUGGGAGGGUGCUGGGCAGACCAGACUUUUCCCGGUCCUGGAUCAAGGCCACGGACCUACCUUUGUAUUUUAGAGACUCCCCUUUUGGGUUUUGGUUGUAUCAUUUUAUUAAAGUCUCUUUUUCUCAUGUUUAA